This 361-nucleotide long non-coding RNA is filed under the name Homo sapiens (human). RNAcentral describes it as "HSALNT0286068". Lineage: Eukaryota; Metazoa; Chordata; Mammalia; Primates; Hominidae. The record is from RNAcentral.
UUGCUAUCCUGGCAAACCAUUUGCUAGCUAGGAGGCUGCCUUAGACCCAAAGGCUAUUCCUUUCCAGAGUUGGAUGUUAAGGGUUAUCCAUUGAGAAACUGACUUUGUAUGGAAUCCAGGCAAUCCUGCACCUGGCACCACCCAGAUUGAUAAACUGGAUUAUCUGAUCUUGUGGCCCCUACCCAGAAACUGACUCAGCACCAGAGGACAGCUUCGACUCCCUUUGAUUUCAUCUCUAACCCAACCAAUCAGCACUUUUGACUCACUGGCACCCCACCCACCAAGUCCUCCAUAAUAACUCUGAUCCCUGAAUGCUUGGGGAGACUGAUUUGGGUAAUAAUAAAACUCUGGUUUCCCAUGC